UUUCUGGUAAUACUGGUUGGCCAGCCGGCCUUUCAUGGCUUGCAUAGCGGCUUCCGCGGCUUCCGUGUACAGCUCGCCUGGGAAGACAGCGUAAGGAAUUGCAUGAUGGAGAAUGAACAACAGAGAUCAGCUAUGAAAUUCAGAGAGUGCUUGCAACGGCCUGCCCCAGACAGAUAUCAAUGUUAUUCUGGCAUCUCUGGCAAGAAUUGUGAACAUCCAUGCACAAUCCAUUGACACAGGAUUGUUCUACAGCUGGCUUUCAACAGAAAUCGCCCAUAUUCUCGGAACUCCUGAGGACUGGAAGCAUGAACCACCUUCAUUAUUUUGUUGAAUUAAAGCCAC
This is a long non-coding RNA of Sphaerodactylus townsendi, 342 nucleotides long. RefSeq lists it as uncharacterized. NCBI's taxonomy places the organism in Eukaryota, Metazoa, Chordata, Lepidosauria, Squamata, Sphaerodactylidae. The transcript has 3 exons. The record is from RefSeq and is a predicted model, not a curated record.